UCCCCCACCCUUGUUCUUAAUAUGUCGGCAAUUUCAUGGUCCAAAAAUCCCUAAGAGCCCAUCAAUUCCAUAAAGAAACCCUCACUUCAAUUUCCUUUGAAUUAUAAAUAGAGAUUUUCUGCCUUUAAUUUGCCGAUUUCUUGGGGAUAAGCUUGAUUUCAAACUGCUCUAUUUUAGCUGUCCAUAUUCAUUGGUUUUCUAGUAGUUUCUGGCACUAUCCAUCACCAUCGAAUAUCAGAUGGAGGAGCCAUAGCUACGCC
This 260-nucleotide long non-coding RNA is filed under the name Elaeis guineensis (African oil palm). RNAcentral describes it as "long non-coding RNA (EGUI_LNC031361)". Lineage: Eukaryota; Viridiplantae; Streptophyta; Magnoliopsida; Arecales; Arecaceae. The record is from RNAcentral.